This 781-nucleotide long non-coding RNA is filed under the name Marmota monax (woodchuck). Lineage: Eukaryota; Metazoa; Chordata; Mammalia; Rodentia; Sciuridae. The record is from RNAcentral.
UCAUUGUCCACAGGGCUAACCUUCCGGAAUGUUCUCGUCUCGCUCAUUCUCCCCAUUCCUGUCAGCAGGUAAGAUACACAUUCCCAGCUGGACGUGCACAGUAAAAGACCAGAAAUUCCCCUAACCAAAUCCCAAUCCACCCUCUGCACACUUGGUGUUUUCUGCCUCUGGGCUCUGGUCCAGGCCCCUCCCUCUUAGCGAUGCCCUCCUUCCUUUUCCACAGAAGACUUCAAAGGGCUGGGGAGGACACUUGUUCUUCCUAAGACCCUCCCAAGUUCCCAAAGCCCAUGGAUUUUUUUUUUAAUUCCUUCCACCAUCUAUCCAUCCAUCCUUCCAUUCAAUUAUUCAGCAAACAUUUUUUUUUUUCUUCUGAGUAUCUCUUAUGAACCAGGCAUUUUGUUAGAAUUGGGAGAAGCCAAAAUAAGUCACACCUCCCAUCCUGGAGGGAUUCACAAUCUCAUAGAUUAAAUAAUAGCUACCAUUUAGUUAGUGCAUAUUAUUUACCAGGUGUAACUCAAAAGCAUUUAAAACACUUUGUCACCAAUUAUCUUCACAAUGACACUGCAAGGGAGGUAACAGAAUCCUGGUUUUGCUGAUGAUGAUACAGAGGCUCAGGGGUCAGGUUAUCCAUCCACGGUCACUGGGUACUAAUUAGCAGAUCCAGGAGCUGGGGCGCUCAGUGUCCCUUCUUCUGCCUUCCCUCCCUCCUGUCUUCUCCCCUCCCAGCCCUCCCCACUUCCUCUGAGUUCACAGCAUGUGGCAAGUGACAAAUGACAUUUUC